GAUGAACGCUGGCGGCGUGCCUAAUACAUGCAAGUCGAGCGAACAGAUCAGGAUCUUGCUCCUCUGACGUUAGCAGCGGGCGGGUGAGUAACACGUGGAUAACCUACCUAUAUGACUUGGAUAACUUCGGGAAACCGUAGCUCAUACCAGAUAAUAUUUUUAACCGGAUGGUUCAAUAGUGAAAGACGGGUUUGCUGUCGAUUAUAGAUGGAUCCGCGCCGCAUUAGCUAGUUGGUAUGGUAACGGCUUACCAAGUCAACGAUGGGUAGCCGAACUCGGAGGGUGAUAGGCCACACGGGAACUGAACCACGGUCCAGACUACUACGGUAGGCAGCAGUCGGGAACCGGACGCAACGGGGGAAAGCAUGACGGAGCAACGGCGAGUGAGUGAUAAAGGUCCCCGGAUCGUAAAACUGUGUUAUGAGGGAAGAACAACUGUGUAAGUAAAUGUGGCCGUCUUGACGGUACCUAAUAAGAAAGCACCGGCUAACUACGUG
This 497-nucleotide ribosomal RNA is filed under the name uncultured bacterium. Its description in RNAcentral is "partial 16S ribosomal RNA". It matches the Rfam family "Bacterial small subunit ribosomal RNA", at positions 28 to 507 of the family's 1533-position model. The record is from RNAcentral.